This 541-nucleotide ribosomal RNA is filed under the name uncultured bacterium. RNAcentral's name for it is "bacterial SSU rRNA". It matches the Rfam family "Bacterial small subunit ribosomal RNA", at positions 777 to 1319 of the family's 1533-position model. The record is from RNAcentral.
AAUAGAUACCCGGGUAGUCCACGCCGUAAACGUUGGGUACUAGGUGUGGCGUCCCGAUCAACGGAUGCCGUGCCGAAGCUAACGCAUUAAGUACCCCGCCUGGGGAGUACGGCCGCAAGGCUAAAACUCAAAGGAAUUGACGGGUCCCCGCACAAGCGGCGGAGCAUGCGGCUUAAUUCGAUGCAACCCGAAGAACCUUACCUGGGCUUGACAUCACGGGAAAAGCCGUAGAAAUACGGUGUCCGUAAGGGCCCGUGACAGGUGGUGCAUGGCUGUCGUCAGCUCGUGUCGUGAGAUGUUGGGUUAAGUCCCGCAACGAGCGCAACCCUUGUCCUAUGUUGCCAGCACGUAAUGGUGGGGACUCAUAGGAGACUGCCGGGGACAACUCGGAGGAAGGUGAGGACGACGUCAAGUCAUCAUGCCCCUUAUGCCCAGGGCUGCACGCAUGCUACAAUGGCCGGUACAAUGGGCUGCGAACCCGCGAGGGGAGCUAAUCCUCAAAGCCGGCCUCAGUUCGGAUUGGAGUCUGCAACUCGACUCC